Molecule: unclassified non-coding RNA, 253 nt
Filed under: uncultured Lactarius
Lineage: Eukaryota; Fungi; Basidiomycota; Agaricomycetes; Russulales; Russulaceae
Description: sequence contains ITS2
Source: RNAcentral
AAAUCUCAACCUCCUCGGUUUCUUCUGGACACCGAAGGAGGCUUGGACUUUGGAGGCCUUUGCUGGCGUCUCUCGCCAGCUCCUCUCAAAUGAAUUAGCGGGGUCCUCUUUGCCGAUCCUCGACGUGUGAUAAGAUGUUUCCAUGUCUUGGUUUCUGGCUCUGUCGCCUUUGGGACCCGCUUCUAACCGUCUCAAGUCGAGACAACGUUUGAGCGUGUCUCCCUUCUCGGGAAACACCCUCGAGCCCACGAAC